GACGAACGCUGGCGGCGUGCCUAAUACAUGCAAGUAGAACGCUGAAGAGAGGAGCUUACUCUUCUUGGAUGAGUUGCGAACGGGUGAGUAACGCGUAGGUAACCUGCCUUGUAGCGGGGAUAACUAUUGGAAACGAUAGCUAAUACCGCAUAACAAUGGAUGACACAUGUCAUUUAUUUGAAAGGGGCAAUUGCUCCACUACAAGAUGGACCUGCGUUGUAUUAGCUAGUAGGUGAGGUAAUGGCUCACCUAGGCGACGAUACAUAGCCGACCUGAGAGGGUGAUCGGCCACACUGGGACUGAGACACGGCCCAGACUCCUACGGGAGGCAGCAGUAGGGAAUCUUCGGCAAUGGGGGCAACCCUGACCGAGCAACGCCGCGUGAGUGAAGAAGGUUUUCGGAUCGUAAAGCUCUGUUGUAAGUCAAGAACGGGUGUGAGAGUGGAAAGUUCACACUGUGACGGUAGCUUACCAGAAAGGGACGGCUAACUACGUG
Molecule: ribosomal RNA, 496 nt
Filed under: uncultured bacterium
Lineage: Bacteria
Description: partial 16S ribosomal RNA
Rfam family: Bacterial small subunit ribosomal RNA
Source: RNAcentral